UGAAAGGAAAAACGGAAAGUAACUAUCUUAAACUAGUUAUUUAAAAUUUACUUAGUAAGUGAAAAGUCUUAUAUAUAGAAAAAAGACGAGAAGACCCUAGAAAUUUUUAUAUAGUGUAUUAAAAUCUAUUAUUCUAUUUUGUUGGGGCGACAUAGUAACAGUUAACUUACUAUACACUACAAGCUAUUUAUUAGUCGAAAGAAUAAAUUACUCUAGGGAUAACAGCAUAAUUCUUAUGAGUUUGUGACCUCGAUGUUGGACUAGGAAAUAAUUUAUCUAGAAGAUAAAUUUGUUGGCUCUGUUCGAGCUGAUUCUCCUACAUGAUCUGAGUUCAAACCGGAGCUCCA
RNAcentral lists this ribosomal RNA (347 nucleotides) under Trochulus sp. 1 MP-2005. RNAcentral describes it as "partial 16S ribosomal RNA". The record is from RNAcentral. Lineage: Eukaryota; Metazoa; Mollusca; Gastropoda; Stylommatophora; Hygromiidae.